Long non-coding RNA from Stegodyphus dumicola, 482 nucleotides. The record is from RefSeq and is a predicted model, not a curated record. Lineage: Eukaryota; Metazoa; Arthropoda; Arachnida; Araneae; Eresidae.
UGUUCUAACCUCCUUGGGAUAUGGCUAGUCUAAACAUUAAGGCAUCACAAGUGGCAACAUCGGUCGCGCCAAACUUCGAAUAUUGUCGUAUAUAUUUGUUUUCGUAUCAAAUUUUAGUAAUGUAACUGUUAAAUCACUCAUCUCAUUUUGAAUUAUUUUGUAGUAUGUGUAAACGAACAUCUCCACAGUGCAUACAUGUAUCAAUACGGUAUGAAAGUAAUCGUAUGCAACCGCAACAAUUAUGAUCUUUUUAUGGGCGACGAUAUGCUUGCAUGUAGCAUAGAAAAUACACACAUACCUGGUGAAAAUGUAAUCGUAACCUUUACCUGGGUGAAAAAGUGAUCGUUCUCCAUUCUGAAUGAAAGUGGUUCCUUAGUGGUGAAGUGAAGAUUCAUUUCCUCUCCAUAAUUUCUCUUACUAGCAGCUAGCAAUGUUUUUCUGGUAUCUGAAAAAUUCAGCUUCAUGUGUAAAAGCUUUACACA